GGUGGUUCUUGGGUGACACACCAGAAUCGGGCUCCUUCCUCUCUGGUUCCGGGGUGUAUUACCCGGGAACCACU
Non-coding RNA from Myotis brandtii (Brandt's bat), 74 nucleotides. The record is from Rfam. Lineage: Eukaryota; Metazoa; Chordata; Mammalia; Chiroptera; Vespertilionidae.